This 1910-nucleotide long non-coding RNA is filed under the name Cricetulus griseus (Chinese hamster). Its description in RNAcentral is "lncRNA (ENSCGRG00015035274.1)". The record is from RNAcentral. Lineage: Eukaryota; Metazoa; Chordata; Mammalia; Rodentia; Cricetidae.
UCCCUCCCUGCCUCCCUCUCUUCCUCCUUUCUGCCUUUCUUCCUCCCCUCCUUCCUCCUUUCUUACCCCUUCCUUCUUCCCUCCUUUCCUUACUGCCCCUUCUCUUCUCUCCCGUCCUUCCCUCUCCCCUCCCAUCCUGUCAUCUUCCUCCUCACUCUCUGCUUGUUACUUGGUGAUAUAAAUGAAAUUUCAGUGUGAUUCCAAAAUCUACCUGUCUUCCUGUGCCAUAGAAAGUCUAUCCCACUGUCUGAGAAUGGAGAUAUACUAUAGAAAAUUGAAUUUCUAGAAUCUUAAGAGCUCUCUUAUGUUAGCUCCUGGAAGUUAAAUGCUCUCCUUUCAAAGGACCUGCCGAUUCCUUUUGACUCUCAUGACAUCAGCCACAUUUAUGGCUCACUGAUGCAAGUUGAGUGGACGAUUUAUUCACCAUCUUCUUGAAGCUAUUGUGGAGACAUGGUGCUUGCAUAGCAUUGGACAAACACACAGAUGAAAUUAUGUACUAUUGGGGAAUUCAUUGACCCUGUUGCUGCUGACAUACUCUGUUCAUUGACCUUCCAAUGUGGACUGAAGACCAGGAAUCCUUCAAGCCUUUGCACCAGGUUGGGACCACCAAGGCAUCAAGCUUUGUGGACUAAGCAUCUGUGGGUUCUCAGCCUCUCCAGCACGAAGAUGGCCAGGUUGGACUAUCUAGUCUGCAUUGCUGGCCUGAGAUGCCGGGACUCUGUACACUUCAACUGCACCAUUUUACCAACUAAGCAUCUCUGGAACUCACUCAUCUGCCUGUUUGCUACAAUCCGGCUUUUUAUAACAGAGAGAUAGGCCAGCUGCUGGUUCCACCCCAUUUCCACCAAGAAGACUGAUGGGCACUGAAGAAGCUUCAUCUUGAGUCAAUGACAACACUAGUCACUGAGCAACCCUGCCCUUCACCUCAACUGCUACAAAGUAUUCCAGACUGUGGACAAGAGGACAGUGGAAUCGACUUUCCCUGUGUUGCUUGGGCCAACGGAUUCUUGUAAGUUCCAGUGAGCGGAAUUGGAUCCAAACAAACAGGUCUAAGAGGCGCCAGGGAGUUCUGCACAGCCUGGACUGCAAUGAAACAACCAGCUACACCAGGACUUGGCAGCACCCUAACCUUCUCAGGUCCCCCAAAGAUGGUCAACGACCCCCACAUCAGCAGGAAGCAGUCUUGAGAAUUCGAUGUCCAUCCUUAUUCCUUAACCUGCUAUGUCUAAUACCCCACCUUUUUAAAUAAUAAGUAGAGGUGGGAAUGAAAGGUUCAGGCUUUAAUGCUGAUCGGCAAUAUCUCUUUAAGAGACAGACCCUGCCCCCUGACAACAGUCAGGGCACGCACAGGGACGUGCCAUCACCAAGUCACCCACUAUGCAUUACAGCCUGUGUGAGGACUCUGGGCAUUCGUGGAACCUCAGUGAGCAUGCUCAGUCUUCCCUUUAAAAGUUCCAACAUCCCUGCUGCUCUCUCUCUCUCUCUCUCUCUCUCUCUCAUCUCUCUCUCUCUCUACUUCACUCUCUCUUCUCCCACCCACGUGCUCUCUCUGCCUCUCUAUGGCAUCUGGCCAUGGUGGUCAGUCAUUACCCCUGUUCCUCUUCUCUCUUAGUCUCCCUACUCUGCCGGGCCCAUAUAACAUACUAGUCAAUAUGUCUCAUCUUGCGUCCUCCUCUUUUUCUUCAAAAACAUAACACUGGGAAUGUAUGCAUGCGCCACCAUGCCCAGAGUUCUUCUAAUAGUUGCUACCUACACUGGUCCUGGUGGGCCCUAGUACCCAACACCUACAGACUCCUAUUUAAGUAUAACUAAGUAACCGUUGGCUAAUGUUUCCUAAAUAAUUUUAUUUAAAAAAAACGGCAUGCUAAAAUAUGAAUCUAAAAAAUUAACUAUAUUUAUCAAAGGAAUGC